This 2352-nucleotide ribosomal RNA is filed under the name Triticum aestivum (bread wheat). Its description in RNAcentral is "partial small subunit ribosomal RNA". Lineage: Eukaryota; Viridiplantae; Streptophyta; Magnoliopsida; Poales; Poaceae. The record is from RNAcentral.
GGGCGGCGGAGGAAGGGAGGAUGUGGCCGCGGCGGGAAUGGAGCGCGGCUGUCGGCGGGAGGGAGCGCGCGGCCGGAGGAGGUGGGAGCGCGCGGCCGGAGGAGGUGGGGGUGCGAGUCCUGCGGAAGGAAGGAGGUGAGGCCAGUGGAAGGAAGGAGGCGAGGCCAACGGAAGGAGGAGCGCGUGGCCGGAGGAGGGAUGGGGCGCGAGAUAGAUGGAAAGAAGAGCGCGAAGCCGGCAGAAGGAGGGGCGCGAGGCCGGCGGAAGGAGGGGCACCAGGCCGGAGGAAGGAGGGGCGUUAAUCAGGCGGAGGGAGGGGUGCGAGGCAGGUGGAAGGAGGGGCUCUUGGCAGGCGGAAGAGGGGACUCUAGGGUGCCGGCAUGGUGGCGGCCGGUUGGGGAGGUAGACAUUCAUUCCCGUGAACCGGCGGGAGGUGCGGCCCCACCGGGACGAUCGGUAGUCGCCCCCUUCGCCUCAUCGACGGUACCGCCCCCACUUCUGCUCAAGUCCUUGUUGAAACCGAACUCCGACACGUUUCUGGUGGCGGGCAGGGAUGGAAUGGAUGUCCGAGUACCUCGAGUACCUCGAGCUGGAGAGGAGGCACCGGAGGCAGACGUUCAAGCGGCUACUGUAGGAGUAUUUUUUCUUGUUACACAAUGAUGGUACCCUCCGAGGGACGACCUACAGCCGCGGCCUCCCCAUAGGGGCGUCGGUAUCUGAAGAGAAGAGAGGACGUUACGUUCCAUACCAUGAGUGUGGUCAAGUUCAUUACUACAACGUUGUUCAUGUCGAGGAGGGGGACAGUUCGAAUCACUCGGUUUUUUCUCGUACAACUACCUACUAACGAUCGAGCGAAGUAGUAGCCGUCUAAAAGGGCAGAUGAUUGAACACCCAUGACGGCCUCUAUUCAUCAUCCGCCGUUUCACAAAACUUCAUCGUGGUUCUACCCCGUAUUUCGACCGCUCGUCGCGAAGGUGCCCUAGGAGACGUGCGUCAGCCGCAGAGUGGAGUGCGGCGGCGUGCGGUAGAAGGAACGAACAGCCACAGUAUGUCCAAAGAAGCCGGCGGCGGAGCGGGACUGGGUUGAUAGAGCUUAAACGCGACCCUGGCCGGAAGUAGCUUCAAAGAGGGUUAGGAAGCUGGAGCAGCACGGUACGUCGUACGAAGUCAAGUUCUUUUUAGAGUUAUUUUCAAGUCUCAUCAAGUGUGAAGUCAAUCGUGGACCGCAGCCGGCUCCGUUGUUAGGGGUGGAGGGGACUGGUCUAGGAGGUACCGGGAGCCGGUGCUCGAGCAGGUGGUACCAAUGAGCGUCAGCAGUUUCACCUCGUGCCUGUAGUCAGGUUCAUCUUAACUUCGGUGGUAGAAGUGGUAAAAGAAUAGUAAGAGUGUAAUAAAAGAACCACUUAAUCGUUAAUGACGAUAACAUCUUUCCUCGAACAACCACAAAGACAAAGAAAAACCAUACACAAAUACUCGUACACUCCCGUCACCUGUAAAACAGGAAGACUAUUAGAGGAAAUUAUUAUUGUGUGUGGAGGAGAAUUACUCUUCUACACGUUUUGAAAGGUACUGAGAAUUUUUCUCGGCAAAACGUAUACAUAUCAAAACUGGAUGAAUUUAUAACUCGGAUGGUAAAAAAUACUCAUGGUACUCAUAUUACAACAAGAAAAGGAUCGACUCAGGCCACUUCAUGAUUGUUACUCAAAAAACCAGCCGGAAGGUCUAGACCUCACCUUCGAAUAUAUACAACCUAGUCGACUUCUACUCUUGAUAAUAGUCGUUAAACUCUCACACGAACAACCGGGACACUUACAACCCUGUAUGGUAAAACAAGACCUCCAUCAACUUUCCACGUCUGAACCGUCGCCACACCAAGCAAGUUGUUGUCACGUUACUGUUUUUCUUGUAGUCAAGUUUUUUUAAUACGUCCUCCAAACCCUCGGUUUGUUGACCUCCAAGUUUCUAACAGCACCUCGUUCAAGUUCUCAAACCAAAGUACACUUUUUACACUAAAAAACCAGUCCUAAAACGUACUAACUAUCGGUAGUCACCGUCGGCCGCUCAUCAAGUUCGGGCGUACGCGCUCGGCGGGUAGCAGAAGGUGUGCACUAGGAUAACGAACUACUACGAACUGUACUUGAGUUGUUCUACCUACCUUAAAAACGUUACAUUACAUUUACUUAUACCAUUUGUUUAACCCUGUGGUCUAACAAAAUCUCCACCUCAAACACGAGGUCAACUCAACGUCGUCUAACACCGACAACCAACAAAGUUCACUUCCACCAGCCCAUAAUGAACACAUCCUGACUUACUUAGAACAUACAUUUCCUUUGACCUAGCUUAUCAACAGUC